Molecule: long non-coding RNA, 12320 nt
Organism: Columba livia (rock pigeon)
Lineage: Eukaryota; Metazoa; Chordata; Aves; Columbiformes; Columbidae
Exons: 8
Source: RefSeq, a predicted model, not a curated record
CCGCGCUCGGCGGGCAAACGAGGCCGCUCGGCAUCUGCUGUACCUGUUCCCGCUGCCUUCAUCUCGCCUUGGAACCGUGACAAGAGCGCGCUCGCCUCGGGUGGGCUCGGAGCCGCGGGGCUGUAACCCUUUGCAGGAAGUUGGCACCGAUCCCAGCCCAAACCCAACGCGAAGGGAGAGGAAGGGAAGAGGAAUCAAAUGGGCAGAGAGAACAGCUCCGAGUCGGCAGGACAAUGCACGGGAAGCGGGGAGAUUAACGUAGCUCUCGAAACCCAUCGCGCCCACCCCGUUCCCGAACCAGUCGCCCCCGCGUCCUCGUCUCUUUUAAUACUCCCGGCUCCUGAUUUAUUCCAGUCAACGAGCGGGAGGGGAACGCGCGGUCCGGAGUCCACGAGCAGGAAAGCGAGCGAGAGGGAGAGCCCGGCAGAGCCCUCACAAUCGAGCAGUGAGAAGAGCAAGGAAAAAUUAACAUCCAAUUAGCGCCGUGUUUAACGAGGGAGACAGAGGCGGCUGUUGUUUUAUUGCCCUGUUCUUUUCAGGCGCAUCUGACAGGCAGCGGGGAAGGCACCCCGGCUCCAACUGACGUCAUAUUUUAUUUCUUUAAUUAUUUCCCCCCCUCUUUUUCUCCCCUACCCGGUCUCUCCUCCUCCAAGUUUCACGGAGACGGUCUCGGCAACUCGGCCAGGGAAAUUCAGGACCUUCUUGCGUUCGAGCCGCCGGCUCCCCCCUCCCCAUGCACCAACACCAACCCCAGACAAACAAACACGCCAACCCACCCCAAAGUCUUUGUUCUUCCGCAAAAAAAUAAUAAUAAACGUUGGGAUCGGAGCCGGAGGGACCCGGAGGAGGUUUCUCCGUGUCCGAGCGUGUGCGUCCAUCUGUCCCCUCUCCCGUCCCUCUCCCCAGACGCUCGCUCGUCUCGUAAAACUUUGCGGCAUGUGACGCUGCUCCGGCCUCCUCUGGCAGCCUGACAAGAGCCGCGCAGCCGCUUUUAAGGGAGAAACUCCGUUGCUAAAGAUGAGAGAAUUAACGCGUUCUCAGCGAGGGACGGCGCCUCGCACAACGGCCGCCAUGGCGGCGGAUCGGACCCUCGCUGCGCCGGGGGGGAGAGGAGCCGAAUCGAAAGCUGGGGACGCUUUUCCCCCUCCCCGCUCGCUGGGCCUCCCGCUUCUCCCCCGGGACGGGGGCCCAGCGCCGUGCAGGCGUCAAGGGAGACGUGUGGGAGCCAUGGAAGGGGAAGUGUCCCGGCCGGCCUGUGCCGUCACCGCUGUCCCCCGAGGCCCAGGGUCUCCUCAGGGUGGGAUAAACACCGCCGGCUCCCCCGGAGAGCGCUGCCAUCCCGGGAGGGGAUGGGACAGCUUGGUUUGGGGGGAUUUGAGGGAGUUCUCCCCCAAAAAGGACCCGCAGCAGGCGAUGGGGAGCGUGGAAAGCGGCGUCCCCAGGCUCUGCCCCUGCUCUGACAAACCACCGGUGAUGGCUGGAGCCAGCGCGGCAGGUCAGGCCACGGCGCCGAGCUCUCCCGCUGUGCCCCCCAGGGCCUUUGUCCAUGAGGAUUUUCUCCCCAAGGAUUUCCCUUGUCCAUGGGAAGGAAUCCAGCAGGACGCGGCUGCUCCAUCGCCUCCCACUUCGGGCAAAGCCCAUCCCGGGGGACGGGGCUGAGCGAUGACAAGGGGACCCAUCCGGGGCCGCCGCGCUGCCAGCACCAAGUCCCUACCAUGAACAUUUCCCAGCACGUCCCCAGCGGUGGGAUCUCCUCUAUCAGACUUACUAUUUUAUCUUUUUAUUUGAAUUAUGUGCCUACGUGGAGCUCGGCGCUGCGGGGGAACAGGGCAAACAGCCUUAUCAAGGGCAAUCGUGCCGCGGGGCCACGACCUGGGCCAUCCAUCGCUGCCGGGGGGCCGGCAGCCCCCAGCCCUCCCGCUGACCAGACACCGGGGUGACGGGCACCCUGCAGGGGUUUGCUGGGCUGCCCUCCUCCCAAAAGCCGGGGUGGGGGGUGUUUUAACAUCAGGAUUUUCAGCAGGACGGUUCUGCAGGGGGAAAGCAAAGGAUGAUGCGCUCGGUCCCAGCUCAGCUGCACCUUCCCCGGGGAAAAGGGCUUUUAGCAGCACCUCAUUGCUCCCCAAGUCCUGCCAGAGCCUGCAGAUCCACCGGGCAGCCCUGUCCUGAGUUUCCCUCUCCCGGCAGCGGUCGCAGCCGCUUUUCCCCCCCCGGGCAGCUGGGAGCACACGAGGCCAAAGUCCCGGCAAUCUCUGUUUGCCACCGAAGGCUGAUAAACCACGCGGAACAGCCGCCAUCUCCGCCCAGCCUGGGCUUGUGCAGGAGAGAGUCAAUAUUUAAACACAGGCUUGUUUCCUGGGCAGAUAGGGCAGCGCUGGGGGUGUAUUUGGAGAAACCCCCAGCUGUGUCCCAGGCACCGGGCCCAAACCUCCCCCUACACCCCUUCAUUUGUUAUCCUGAGGGUGGAUUUCACCCCAAUCUCCCCUCCCGUGGGAGGGAGGCCCUGUCCCCACCAGCUGUGGGGCUGAGCACCUGCUAACGAGGCAGCAAUUUAAGGGCAGGGGGCACUCAGCCAGGGUUUGGGUUGUCUCCUUGUCUGCUCCUGGUCCCCAUGGUGGGGAUAUCUCCAGUGAAGCACAGGACAAGAACCACGGUUAGAAACAGGGGAGGUAAGGAAAUAUUUCAUUAUGCCACAAAUGGCAGGUCCUGCUUCAAGCUGAGGCUGCGAACUGGAAGCUUUGAAACCUGGUUUUCAUUUAAGCUGACCAAAAGCUAUAUUCAAGUGUUGUGUUCCCAGCAAAGUUUGUGUUCCGUAGUGAUACUGGGCAGAAAUAGGAGGCAGGAUGCUUGCUCUGGUGCAGGUAAAUUCCUUAGGUAGAUUCCUCAAAGGAAACAGCACGUUUCACUGCGGAGGCUGCAGCUGGGCUGUGCACGGGGUGUGGGAGGUUUUACAGGCAUGGGGUGGCCUUAAUUUUGAGGGUAAAAGCAUGUUUCUGAGCAUGAAAACUUUAAAAAAGAACCAGCCAGGAGUUGUUGUUUUACACCUGUAUUUUGGAGCAUAGUUAAAUCCUCUUUGAAAUAAUCUCUGGUGUUAGGGAGCAGGGUCAUGCGUUAUUUAACUUCUGUUAAUUUAACACGAACUGGAAGGAGGGAGGACAGACGGGACCGACUUCACGACACCGACGGGACUGGGUGGGAACCAGCGGUGCCAGCGUGUACCAGUGCUGCCCCGCGGACCCGGCUGGGAGAUGUGGACCAAACCCAUCUGAGGGUGAAAACCCCUGUGCAGUGGCAGGUUGGGGUCCCCAGAGGACCACGAUGGGAUGUGACCCCAGUUCCUGCUGCAGCAGCACGUGGGAACCUGCUCCAGGACCCCAAAACCUCUUCCCAGGGAGCGCAGCAACACCACUCUGUGCAAAACACUGCUGGACGGGGGAACCGAAGUGGGGGGAAACAUCUGCCUGGCUGCUGUCACAGCACAGACUGGUGCAAAUAUCUUCAUCUGGGGAGCUGAGGAUAAAUCCUGCGCUGCUGAGCUCUGUUAUGCGAGGGCUGGCCAAGCUCCUGUGUGCAUGAGGAACCCUCAGCCCCUCGCAAACCUUUGGCCAGAGUGAGCUUCAUCCCUUUUUACCAGGCAAUCAGCCCCGUGAGGGUAACCCUUCUGUCCAUCGCUAUCGGCAGGAUGCUGCUGGGCUUCGGGAGCCGAGCCGUGCCCGUCUCUUUGGGACCGCGCUCCUCUUUGUGGUGGGACUCAGUUUCCCUUUGCUGUUUGAUCCUGUGAUUUCCCUUUCAGGCCUGUGGGAGACUGGGAGCUCCCCAGUGUUCAGGAACCCUCAAAACCUUCAAUACGGGUUGCAGGGUUGAGGUUGGUCAGCUGGCGGUGCCAUCCCAGCGAGGCGACCUCAGAUCUGCUGCUUCUGAGCUCUGGCAGAACAAAACCACCUCCUGUCCCCAUAUCUCACGGCUGGAUCGUUUAGUGUUUGGACAUCUUCUGGUUUUCUGGACCUCCCCAGUGAUUCCAGAGCUACAACCUGGAUCAAAGAGACAAGACAACAUCCUUCUGCUCUGAUACACAUCCUGUCCGAGACAGUCAUGAGGAUGGAGCUUUGGUCCAGCUAGAGCCUGAAGCCAGAUCUCCAGAAGGCAAUUUGUCACUGGCCUUGCUGGAGAGGGGGUGUCUUGCUCUGGCUCAUGGAUUUUUGGAUCGAAAAAGAAAAAAAAUAUAUAUUGAAACAAGCUUGGGGUUUCUAGAGGAGUCCAAGUUCGUCAGCUGUCCCUGCCGAGGAGUCAGUCGAUGGGGAAGCAGGCGGCGGGCACGGGCGCUCUGCGGAAGAGGAGGCUGGAGCCGCGGAACAGCUGCCCCUGAGGAGCAGAGAAGGGAGCGCAGUGUCAGCACAGCCGUCCUGCGUCACCGUGACACCAAAACCCAGCUGGGGACCUGCAGCUGGCUUAGCAGAGACCAACCUGUGCCCCCUGCAAGGCCCCAGCGCCCCGGAGGAGAAAUGAGAGGUUCAGCCCUGUGAGUGCUGGGGUCGUGCACUUCCCCAGGGCGACUGGUAGAGAGGGCAGAGCCAUCUCGCUUUGCUCUGGGAAAUACAUUGGCCAGAAGUUCUCAGGCUGCGAGCUCGGGGUAUGUAAUGGGGUGACCAGUACUGCCGGGCACUGGUGCCAGAACCAGAGGGGCGGAGCAGAGGGAGCCCGGAGCUCCGCGCGUGCCCCGUGCUCACCUGAGCACUGAGAUACCUCCAGCAGUGGAUCCAGGAUGCGAAGGCGGGAGCGUAGGGGGGGAGGCCGGCGCGCAACCUGCACGGCAACAAGAGAGAGCUGAGCUGAGCGGUCUGCGCCGAUGUCAUGUUAUCCAGAUAGGUAACACGAGAGCAGCGCUAAGUGUAAACCAGGACACAAAAGCCGUGUCCGCGCCGGGCUGAAGGCCAAAUGACCAGCUCGUUAUUUACAAUGCAACAGAUCGUGUAAUUUAAUUACGCCUGGAGUGUACAAACAAGGAGCGUUACCUGGAUAUGUUAAGAGCCCAGGACUCUAUGCUGUAGCUACACCUUUGAGAGCCAGCAAAUAUCGAGACGUUACACCAUCCCACAAGCACAAAUGCAGACUGCUGGCAGCAGUGGGACUGGGAAAGCCAGCUCGGUCCUGUCCCACAGCCAGCAUGGUCCCCGUCAUCCCUUCUGCCUCCCAUCUAGUUCAGAUCCAACUGCGCCACCACAACUCUCCCGAUUUCUCUCCACUUGAGCUUUUACGCUGCUCCUGUCUGUGCCCUCUGAUCUAGAAUUAUAGGCAACCUGGGACAGGAAAUGAGCCAACUCUGCGAGGUGCCAUCUAGUUUAUGGUUCUGUAUGAAAGCUUUACGAUCCCUAGCAGAGGACUCAGACAACAAGGGGCUGGAAGAAAGGAAGGGAAAGCCUUAGAUCUCCGUGUGACGGACAUACCCACAGUUGUUCACUGCCAUGAGAUCUCCCACGAGAAGGAAUGGGUACGUCAGCAUGCUCACGGCGAUCUGGAAGCACAGAAAACCGGUGUUCAUUGCAUCAAAAAAGCUAGUUCCAGCCUUUGCAUGUUGGCAAAGUUAUAUUUGAAUAUAAAGUACAGACCAGCUUUUGUCCCCAGACCACGAGCUCUCACCCCACAGCAGCAGGAAGAGGAGAAAUCAUGUUUUUCUACGUACCCCCAUCACAAAUUUUGUGUAGCUCCGGAUCACCGAUGCCUGGCUGAACUGGAAAGAGAAACCAAAGCCACUGUGGAGCAGGUGGGUGACACCAGCCUGUCACUGUCACUACACGACAUCCCUCUGAGCCCGAGACGAUGGGUGUGGGGCAGGAAACAAUGGUAACGAUGCUGCAUCCCAGCUGAGAAUCGAGGAGAACAUUUGCCACCAAACCCAAUCCCCUACACUGCAGCUGAAACGCAGCCCCGAGCAGAUGCGGCAUCUUUAGCACUUUUACAGCGUUUUAUCCCAGUGUCCCUUUGUAUUAAAUCAGCCACCAGCUUCCCAUUAACUCCUUCUAGCUGCAGGUGUUCGGUACGAGCCCCCCAAACCCUGCACCGGGCGCUUCCACUCACGUUGUCGUCCACCGCGUAGGUGUUGAUGAAGUGAGCCAGGAGAUUGCAGCACCAGAGGAAGAUGACGUCCCCCAGGACAUGAGGGACCAAACCGCUGCAAUGGCAAAGAGGGGAGUGAGGUGUAAAAGGGUCCUCGUGCUGCUUUCCAAGGUGUCCAGCCUACCCUCAUCCCCUGAAAAUGCAUCUUUACUUUGUGAAGAACUGAAGGGAAAAGGGGAGAUUUUGGGGAAGAGCUCUCCUGGCCUUCAAGCACAGUCCUGCACGUGCUGCCAGCGACUCUGCACCAGGGAUGCUCUGGAGUAGGAAGUUUGGGAUCUGUCGUUUGGGCACGACUCAGCCACGUCCCUUUGUUCUACCCCAAAUCUUGGCCCUGCUUGACUGCUGCAGAUACAAGGGGCAGCGAGAUAAGUGCAGCCCCUGAGAACCUUUAUCUCCAGCCAGAUGCGCACCCAGAGCGAGCGUGUGCCGCUGUUAUAGCCACGUAGAGGUUAGAACGCCGUGCAAAACAAGUGCAGUGCGAUGAUUUUUAGGGAGUGGAUGCGUUUGGGUGCAUUAGAACUGCUGCGGUUUGGUCCUACAGAUGCGGUUUAUGCUCCCCUCACAGACGUGUGAUUUCCUAGCGGGGUUGUAGAGCACGUAUAACUUCAGAGCCCUCCUGAGACGCUUCGGGUUGUGUUAAAGCCUUUCCUGUGAACUAUUAAGUUUAAUUAGGCCACUAACGGUGUUUAUUUUACAUGAAGGAAGGGAAUGCAGUGGCUCCUUUCAUAUUAUUUCCUCAGGAGGUGGAGAACAGGGAGGGAUGCCGGGCGCUGCGCACAGGGAACAUCCCAGAGGUAUCUGUAUUUAACAAAGGAGAUUUGGGGCUGCAGAGAAGCUGUGGGCUGCAAAAGGAAGAUGCGGUGACACUCAGUUGAUGGAGUCUCUGCAGAUCCCUGGGCCUUUCCCCUCAGGGAAGGACAGGGCGAGUCCUCCUGUGAUUGUUGGUCACCUCUUGAUGAGCUCACGUUCCACCUGGAGGCCCAAAUCUUGUGACUGCAGAGCUGAAGGCAUCCGGCCUCAUAAUCCCUCCUGAAAUUUUGGAGCUGCCUCUACUGUUAUUUACUAUUUGGAAGAGUAAGCUCAGUGCAACUCUGAGGCCGGCAGAGCGAUCAGCGCCUCCGGAUGACAGGAGAAAGUAUCGAAACAACAACUCACGUACACAAAGAAUCCCAGGAUCCCUUCUUCCUUAAAUAUCCUGCCGAUGGCACUGAACACACCGCUGCAAGAAAGGACAGGAGCUGUACACGUGCAGAGGUCGCUCCAUCUCCAUCCCACGGGGCUCUGCAGCCCCCAGCCAUGGUGCCAGCGAUGCAGCGGGCAGCUCUGUCCUGCUCCUUCCCCUCAGCCCACGAAGGAGGGUCGUGCCUGUGCUCUCCCAGCCUGCAAAAACGCCUGGGACAACGCUCGGCUCACUGAUAACGGUUUAAAUGCUGUAGCCACAAGAGCUCUGCUUGGCUUUGGGUGAGUGGAUACACAUGCCGCAACCACGACACAUAAAAAGGUUUGAUUAGGCUGAUUCUCAGCCCAAGGACCCCGUCCCGGCUCUGGGAACUCGCCAAACCCUUCCAAACUGCAGCCACUCACCUGUAUUUGACUUCCCGGCCCACAAACUGGACCAUGCAGCGCAUGGAGAUCACUAGGAGGAAACAAACACAGGGCUGGCAAAGAAACAAAUCCAGUUGGGGUUGUAAUGGAGGCGAAGGAAAACGCAACCUGUCCCUUCUGCCCUCCCUCCCCUCGACUGGCUUCAUCUCCAGCUCCUCUCAGUGGUCCUUAUCACUGCGAGACUCGUUAGGAAACAGUGCCCUCCCCUAGUUUGUAUGGGAUAGGAAGGAUUUCUGGCCCUAAUCCCAGUGGGAUCUCUAGGACAAGCUCUGAAUGAAUGGGAAGAGAGCACCGCUCCCCAAGGCCACCCCAAACAUCAGUCUCCCCAAGCAACCCCGCAGCCCUGUGUGUGCUCUGCGGCUUUGUGCAAAGCUGUUUGUGACAGAGAAGUGCACUGGGGGUUUUGGGGUGAUCCUCAGUCCGGAACAGGGCUCACCGUGCAGCGGGUGUGAGACAAGCCGGGACACGCACUGCAUCAUCAUCUCGUGAGAGGUCUGGGGAGAAGAAAACCACAGCUGGAUGAAAAGCUGCGUUUCUCCACCCACGCAGGCCAGGCCCCUUCCCUCCGCGCAGCAACACCCAUCGCCGGUCCCUCUUUUGAAAUCUGUUGCUCAUGGUGAACCUCUAUUCUUACAAAAUAUUUCACAGCUGGACACAGAGUGGCUACUAAAUACACGGCCUGUUCACCCAGAGCUUCUCUCCAAGUAACUUCACCUACAGUUUAAGCUUCCUUUGCUCCACAGGCACAUCCCCAAUGUGAUCUCCCUGAUUUGCAAUAUCUGCUUCUCACCUCUUUCACCACUUUCCUAAGGGAGGUCUUCACAUCAUCCUUGUUAGAAACGUGCUCCAUGUCUUCCAGUGGAAAGGCCUGAGUGGAGAGAGAAGAAACAGUCAAAAGUGAUGGAGACACCGACCCACAAACCCUCGGUGUCUGAGGACAGGAGGAAACCACAAGCAGUUGCAUUUGAGAAAGGAGAAGAAAAACAGGCAAGAAGGAACACAGGAGAAGGAAGGAUGGCAAGUAAAACGGGGGAAGAGAUGGGUUAUGAAACUGCUUACAGAAGAUAAAAGUGACUGUUCAAAUUAAAUUAAAACCGUUUUAAAAAUAAGUACUAGGGAUACGGGCACCGUUCUCCUCCUGUCCUGGAGGAGAAUUCAAAGCCCGUAGGAGAUGGAGAGAGAUGAUGGGUGAAUUAUUCCUCCACGUGCAGCCACGGCUCCCGGGCUCUGCUGUGGUAGCACCGGCCGACCCAGCAAACUGAUUUAUGGAGAGAGAAGCCGACCUUUACCUUCUUCACGCUCCCCCUGGUGAUGGUUGAUAAAGUGCUUGAGAUGAGGCGAGGAGUAAGGCCGCGGAAGAGGCCUCUUUUCCCAUCCACCUCCACGAUGUGUCUGGCUGGGGAAUUAAAAAACAGGCUGCUGUCAGUGGGGAACCGGCUGAGCGCCCCAAACACCUCCGGUGUUCAGCCGAAACCGUCCUGGAGCUCAGCGCCACGCAGCAGCCGCUCUGCGGUCCCACCGUAAGUGAUUUAUUAGAACAAUCCUAAAUAAAUUUCAUAUAGGAUGCAAAGAAUCCUUAAGUAUUCCCUGUCAUAACUAAUCUGGAAGGAUAGAUGAAACGGCCUCUCCAACACGUGCAAAAACCCCCCACCAACAAACCCACAGCACCCAAACCCACCCCACCCCGGACCCUCUGCUGUGGGGCAAACACAGAGCAACCAGCGCUGGGGCCACCACCUCCUUGUCCCCAACAACAGGAAAGGGAAGAGGGAGAGAGAAGUUCCUUGGACUGCAUGGCACCUCCAUAAAGCAGCACCUCCAUAAAACAUCACCUUCACUUGGAGCUGGGACCCGCAGACAACAUGAUCGCUCUCAUCUGCCUUGGCCCUGGUGUAGAAGUAAUUCUGAGGUUUGGGAAGAGGAAAGUCUGUGCUAACCUGACGCUGCAGCACCACAUGCUGGAACCUGUGCAGAGGAUCCUGCGCUUGGAACUCAUCCUGAAAGAUUACAUCUGAAAACUACCUCCUGAGUCCCUGGACCGGGACGAUGCACAGACUGCCCUGUGCGCUCGGAUAAACCUCUCGGACUGGCCCUUCUCCAGCAAGGAAAGGGAUUAAUCUGCCCUUGCAGGGUCUGUGGAGAGGCUCUGGAGAUGAUUUCUCUGGUGUCAAAACACCCCGGCCUAUCCUGCUCACGGCAGAUCCCAACUUCUCUACAUUUUGUUUUUUCAUCACAAAAAGUUCCCCUGGCCACGCCGCAGUGAUGGUCAAGCGGAGCAGUUUGGCCUCCCGCCUCCCGGCGCAGAAAGCGAAACCCUGUGGAGAAGUCACGCAGUUUCCUAUUCUCGAGAAUGAGGAAGGCUCGGAGGCCACUUACCGGAAUCCCCCCCGGCCACAGACCCCCCCCGCUGCCUCUUCUUGUAAGCACUGACCAAAAAACCUCGCGCAAGGCGCUCGCCGCAGCUCCGCCGGCUGGGCCACCCUUUGGUGACAACAGCCAGCGGGGAAGGGGAGCGGACACCCGUGCAGCCGCCACUUGGCCGAGGCUUUUAUGUCCCUUGGUCACCCCCUGCUCCCCAGGAAUGUCCCUCACGUGUCCCCCAAGCAUGGGGCCCAUAUGGGCCCUAUAGAACCCCCUGACAUGCAGGGCUGCUCUGGGAGCUGCUCUGUGUGCUGGAGGCUCUUGAUCUGUAGGGGCACGUUCUAUGGGGGUUUCUCUAUAGGGCAGGCAUUCCUUCUCUAUAGGGAUGGCUCUACUGGGUAUAUUCUCUCGCUUGCUGAUUGCAGGUGCCUAUAGGGGCUUCGCUCUGCUGUGGGGUGGGAUUUCCUGCUCUAUAGGGGCUGGUUUCCAGGGACUGCAUCACUGAUGCAGGGGCUCAUACUCUAUAACGCCCGCGAUGGGGUUCUAUAGGAGCUGGGCUGCACAGAGGGGGAUCUAUAGGAGCUGUGCUGGCAGAACCAUCCCUGGAGCAUCCUCCCCCUGCCGUGCCCAGGGCGGUGGGGGGCACCGGGGACCCCCAUCUCCCCCAAGGCUGGGGGCAACCCCUGGGUGGGAGAUUUAAGGAUGGGAUAUUAAAUGAUGCAAAAUAGCUGUAAUGACCCCCCCUCAAAACAAACAAACAUAAAACAACACAGUGAGGAUUGUGGCAGCUCAGGGCUGUGGUACCCCCAUCCUGCUCUGCAUCCCCCUCAAACCCCCCAGGAGCAAUAAAAGCAGGAGGGGGACCCCAGGAUCCACACAGCUGCACCCCCCUUUGCACCACACUGGCAAAACGUCAUUGCCAGGGUGUCCCCAGGCUGGAGGGAGCUUUUGGGGGUGCAGCUCCCCCUCUUUCUCAGGGUCUCUGCAGGCUGCUGGCAAAGGGCGUUUCAUGCAGCUGAGAACCAGGUCGUGCAUCUCGCUGUCUUCUGAGGCGGGAGGUGUUUCCCGGUGGCGCAGGAAUUCGCUGUUUGCGCCUGUGUUGCAGGAGGCUGGAGGAAGGAAAAGCUGGGGGGAGAGCUGGGGAGGGCUGAGCUGGCGGUUGUUAUUAUUUAAUUUCAUUUUCCUGCCUCCAUCCAGGAAUCUCUGCAAUGUGCCGGCUGCACCCGGGAGGCUGGGGCGGCCGUGAGUCACCGCUGCCGCUGGAACGUGACUCAGUCCUGCUGCUCUCGCCGGCAGGACAUGACCAGACUGCCAAACCUCGCGGCAGCCCCAGCGCCACGGCUGCCCACGCGAAAUCCCCCCCGAGCGCAGCCCACAGGGGUAUCGGCCCAUCGCCGUGGGGUGGAGCUCAGGCGGGGGGGCCAGAAUGGGCUCUUUUAUUUAUUUUUUUGUUCCUUUUAUUUUUAUUUUAUUUUUAUUUAUUUAUUUAUUCAUUUAUUUUAAUCUUCUUUUCUUUUUUCCCAGGAAAACCCUCUCCACCCACUCUCUAUGCAUCACCAUCAUGCUGUAGGUACCUCCUCAGUGGUUUUUGCUGCCCAAGCCCUACGGGGCAGCAGGGAAAGCUCCUGGUGCCGCUCCUGCCCCAGUUCCCGUGCCUCAGUUUCCCCAUCCAGUGGGGAGCAGAGAUUUCCCCAUCGGGACGUGGGUUACUUCAGGUUGUGCUUUGAGCACCCCAGCUGUGACUCAGCUCAUCAGCAUGAUCGAAACAAGAGCCGGACUCCAGCACCGGGGCCACGGCAGCGCCAAACCGGUCCCCCCAACACCAGCUGCGACCCCCCCAGCUCUGCCAUAGGACCCCAUUGCCCGCCAGGCACAGCCCGGCGCCCCCCCGGGGUUUUGGGGUGGGUUUUCCCCCUGAUUGGCGACAGGUUGGGGCUCAGACCGUCCCCUUCUCACACACGGCGUGUCACCCCCACCCAGGGCAAUUACCCAUUGCCACGCUGCAAAUAAUUAUAUUAAUAACUUAUUUACCGUGCUAUAAAUAGCCCCGAUAAUGACAGCCUGGGCUUUCCAGGAAUAGAUCGCCAAAAAAUGCGGGGAAAGCCGUUCCCACCCCAGCCUGGGUUGCAGACGGGGAAACUGAGGCACUGCCGGUUUCGGGCAUGACUCCCGCCCGCUGCACCGCGCCGUCUGCCAGGCAGCUGUGGAAUUUGCUCCCGAAUAAACUGGCAUGUAAAUGA